This 496-nucleotide ribosomal RNA is filed under the name uncultured bacterium. Its description in RNAcentral is "partial 16S ribosomal RNA". It matches the Rfam family "Bacterial small subunit ribosomal RNA", at positions 28 to 506 of the family's 1533-position model. The record is from RNAcentral.
GACGAACGCUGGCGGCGUGCCUAAUACAUGCAAGUUGAGCGCUGAAGGCUGGUACUUGUACCAACUGGAUGAGCAGCGCACGGGUGAGUAACGCGUGGGGAAUCUGCCUUUGAGCGGGGGACAACAUUUGGAAACGAAUGCUAAUACCGCAUAAAAACUUUAAACACAAGUUUUAAGUUUGAAAGAUGCAAUUGCAUCACUCAAAGAUGAUCCCGCGUUGUAUUAGCUAGUUGGUGAGGUAAAGGCUCACCAAGGCGAUGAUACAUAGCCGACCUGAGAGGGUGAUCGGCCACAUUGGGACUGAGACACGGCCCAAACUCCUACGGGAGGCAGCAGUAGGGAAUCUUCGGCAAUGGACGAAAGUAUGACCGAGCAACGCCGCGUGAGUGAAGAAGGUUUUCGGAUCGUAAAACUCUGUUGGUAGAGAAGAACGUUGGUGAGAGUGGAAAGCUCAUCAAGUGACGGUAACUACCCAGAAAGGGACGGCUAACUACGU